RNAcentral lists this transfer RNA (66 nucleotides) under Elaeidobius kamerunicus. RNAcentral describes it as "tRNA-Cys". The record is from RNAcentral. Lineage: Eukaryota; Metazoa; Arthropoda; Insecta; Coleoptera; Curculionidae.
AGUCAUAUAGUCUAUUAAGAUUUUAAAUUGCAAAUUUAAAGAUAAAUAUUUGAUAUUUUGUGACUU